Orussus abietinus is the source of this 475-nucleotide long non-coding RNA. RefSeq lists it as uncharacterized. The transcript has 4 exons. The record is from RefSeq and is a predicted model, not a curated record. Lineage: Eukaryota; Metazoa; Arthropoda; Insecta; Hymenoptera; Orussidae.
GCGUGCUGAACCGUGGGCGAGUCGUCGAUAACGUGUUGGUAUUCGGGAAAAGAAGCCAAGAAUGCGUUGGAUCGAACAAAUGGUACUGCAACAUUUUACACGGACCAAUGAAGUAACUUUAAAAUGGAUGAAAUAUGAAAAGAAUGCAUAAAUGCGUGGUGGCGAUUCGGAAGGCAUGGAACCAGACAAAAGUGCGACCUCCGUGGGAGCCCGUCUUGUCUCCUUUGCAUCAUGGACGAGAUCCCAGUUCGCAAUAGGUGAACCGACAAUGACGCCUAGGGUUCGAGUGGAAGGCCCCGAUUGCGUCCUCGAGUUCUUUCUUCGUCGUACCGGCAAUCUACAUAAUAGACAUAUCUGCUCGGCAAAUGUGACAAACCAUUUUCGAAGCGAUCCUUUAGCCCCUUAAUGCACAGAUUAAAAAAAAUAAAAUAAAUUAUUUUAAGGAAAAAAAAAACACUAGAACAUUGUCUUGGCA